Molecule: ribosomal RNA, 492 nt
Filed under: uncultured bacterium
Lineage: Bacteria
Description: partial 16S ribosomal RNA
Rfam family: Bacterial small subunit ribosomal RNA
Source: RNAcentral
AGUGAACGCUGGCGGUAGGCCUAACACAUGCAAGUCGAACGGCAGCACAGUAAGAGCUUGCUCUUACGGGUGGCGAGUGGCGGACGGGUGAGGAAUACAUCGGAAUCUACUUUUUCGUGGGGGAUAACGUAGGGAAACUUACGCUAAUACCGCAUACGACCUACGGGUGAAAGCAGGGGAUCUUCGGACCUUGCGCGAUUGAAUGAGCCGAUGUCGGAUUAGCUAGUUGGCGGGGUAAAGGCCCACCAAGGCGACGAUCAGUAGCUGGUCUGAGAGGAGGAUCAGCCACACUGGAACUGAGACACGGUCCAGACUCCUACGGGAGGCAGCAGUGGGGAAUAUUGGACAAUGGGCGCAAGCCUGAUCCAGCCAUACCGCGUGGGUGAAGAAGGCCUUCGGGUUGUAAAGCCCUUUUGUUGGGAAAGAAAAGCAGCAGGUUAAUACCCCGCUGUUCUGACGGUACCCAAAGAAGAAGCACCGGCUAACUUCGUG